This 81-nucleotide non-coding RNA is filed under the name Talaromyces stipitatus ATCC 10500. The record is from RNAcentral. Lineage: Eukaryota; Fungi; Ascomycota; Eurotiomycetes; Eurotiales; Trichocomaceae.
GGCCCUCGUAGAAACUCACCUUCUCGUGGUGAGGGACGUCAGUAAGCGGAAUUGCGUAGUCUAGCUGAAGCUGAGAACUUU